GACGUAGGGCGCAAGCGUUGUCCGGAAUUAUUGGGCGUAAAGAGCUCGUAGGCGGUCUGUCGCGUCGGAUGUGAAAAUCCAGGGCUCAACCCUGGACCUGCAUUCGAUACGGGCAGACUAGAGUUCGGUAGGGGAGACUGGAAUUCCUGGUGUAGCGGUGAAAUGCGCAGAUAUCAGGAGGAACACCGGUGGCGAAGGCGGGUCUCUGGGCCGAAACUGACGCUGAGGAGCGAAAGCGUGGGGAGCAAACAGG
RNAcentral lists this ribosomal RNA (253 nucleotides) under uncultured bacterium. RNAcentral's name for it is "partial 16S ribosomal RNA". It matches the Rfam family "Bacterial small subunit ribosomal RNA", at positions 524 to 776 of the family's 1533-position model. The record is from RNAcentral.